RNAcentral lists this ribosomal RNA (243 nucleotides) under uncultured bacterium. RNAcentral describes it as "partial 16S ribosomal RNA". It matches the Rfam family "Bacterial small subunit ribosomal RNA", at positions 793 to 1038 of the family's 1533-position model. The record is from RNAcentral.
GUCCACGCCGUAAACGAUGGAUACUAGCUGUUGGGACUUUAUGUCUCGGUGGCGGAGCAAACGCAUUAAGUAUCCCGCCUGGGGAGUACGAUCGCAAGGUUGAAACUCAAAGGAAUUGACGGGGGCCCGCACAAGCGGUGGAGCAUGUGGUUUAAUUCGAUGCAACGCGAAGAACCUUACCUGGGCUUGAACUGUUAUUGAUCGUGCCAGAGAUGGCGCUUUCCUUCGGGACAAUAUCAGAGG